AAAACAUGUCUUUUUGAAAAUAAUUUAAAGUCUAAUCUGCCCACUGAUUGAAAUUGAAGGGCUGCAGUAUAUUGACUGUACAAAGGUAGCAUAAUCAUUAGUCAUUUAAUUGAUGACUUGUAUGAAAGAUUGGAUGAGAUAUAUACUGUCUCUUAUUUAAUUGUAAAAUUUAAUUUUUUUAUUAAAAAGUUAAAAUAAUUUAAAAAGACGAGAAGACCCUAUAGAGUUUAAUAAAUAANUAANUUNAUUUUAUUUUGNANAAUAAUANUNAAANUUANUNNUUUAUUUUAUUGGGGUGAUAGAAAAAUAAAUAAAACUUUUUUUAAAAUAAAACAUUUAUAAGUGAUUAAAUGAUCCAAUAAUAUUGAUUAUAAGAAAAAAUUACCUUAGGGAUAACAGCGUAAUUUUUUUUUUUAGUUCAAAUAAGAAAAAGAGUUUGCGACCUCGAUGUUGGAUUAAGAUAAAAUUUGAAUGCAGAAGUUUAAAAUUUUGAUCUGUUCGAUCAUUAAAAUCUUACAUGAUCU
RNAcentral lists this ribosomal RNA (524 nucleotides) under Acrapex kavumba. RNAcentral's name for it is "partial 16S ribosomal RNA". The stretch from base 392 to 524 matches the Rfam family "Archaeal large subunit ribosomal RNA", at positions 2542 to 2675 of the family's 2987-position model. The record is from RNAcentral. Lineage: Eukaryota; Metazoa; Arthropoda; Insecta; Lepidoptera; Noctuidae.